This 254-nucleotide ribosomal RNA is filed under the name uncultured bacterium. RNAcentral's name for it is "partial 16S ribosomal RNA". It matches the Rfam family "Bacterial small subunit ribosomal RNA", at positions 524 to 776 of the family's 1533-position model. The record is from RNAcentral.
UACGGAGGGGGCCAGCGUUGUUCGGAAUCAUUGGGCGUAAAGGGCGCGUAGGCGGCUUGGUAAGUCCGUUGUGAAAUCCCUCGGCUCAACCGAGGAACUGCGACGGAUACUGCUUGGCUUGAGUCCCGGAGAGGGUAGCGGAAUUCCCAGUGUAGCGGUGAAAUGACGUAGAUAUUGGGAGGAACAUCGGUGGCGAGGGCGGCUACCUGGACGGGUACUGACGCUGAUGCGCGAAAGCUAGGGGAGCAAACAGG